CUUUACUUUACUUUUUUUUAUAUUUUGAAAUUUUAAACAAGUUUGUUUAAUAGAAUAAGAAUUAAUUUUUAAUAUGCUUUGGUUGCUUCUAAUAUUGUGAAGGAUUGCUUUUAAGUAAAAGUUUUUUUGCACCUUUUUCGCCAAGUAAUCUUUUAUGUACAAUAUAGCUGCAGAAGAAAAACGGUAAUUUGCAUAAAUAAUUAAUAUUUUUAUAAUGGAGAUAAAUUUUGCAUGAUGAAAAGGGCAUUUAUCUAAUGGAGAUAAUUUAUGUAUUGUGGAGAUAACUUUUAUAUUAUGGAGAUAAUUCGUUAAUUUUACGAAUUGGAGACCUCUCUUAGCACACGUUUAAAGGAGCAUGCCUGUUAUUAUUUUUUACGUGGGCACAGAAAAAUGGUGGACAUAAGAGAUACGUGGACAUGAAGAAAUGUCCAUUAAGUGCUAAAAACAAUCCAAACUUGACAUUUUUAGCUUUUGCGCGUCAAUUUUUUUAAAAAAUUAUUUCAAUCGAUAAGGUGACAUAAGUUGUUAUAAAAAUGUUAUGCUUAUUUUGCGAUUUCCAGUUAAGGAGUUAUUCUAAAGCUUACCUCCCGCGAAGAAGUUAAUUUUAUAUAAAGGAGUUUGAAAACUUGUCUCGGAAUUUGCAUAUUGUUGUAAAAAUUUCUUUAUUAUUUCUUAAGAUUUUAGACUUAGCUACAUAUUCCGCUAAUUAUGCAUGAUGACAUUAUGAAGCAGCUUAAGUUUAGCGUUUCGAACAUUUUACACAAAUCUAAGCAUUUUUACCAUUCUCAACCCCAAAAACAAAAUUAACCUGGAAGAACAAAGCAAUGUUGUUUAUAAAAUCCCGUGUAAAGAGUGUGAUGGCGAAACAAAAAGAAAACUGAAGCAGCGAUUUCAAGAACAUAAUACACACAUCGAGAAACGAGAUGUAAAUAAGAAAAAAAAUGGCGGACCACAGCUGGGGCAGAAUUCAUCAGUUUAGCUGGGAUGAGAAGAAAAUCAUUGACAUAAUCUACAACAACGACCGGAAAAAUAAAAGAAACCAUUAAUAGUGUAGAUCGUGACAAAAACAUAAACAGCAUCUCGUAUCAAAUUUUCCUUGUAUCAACGUCCUGAGAUUUUUGUUACUAGCCCUACAGAAGAUGUAGUUAUUUCAAUCCAGGUAUGAACAAUAUUAAUUACCGUAAUUAACAGCUUGUAUCUGAUUGGUUAAUUCUUAUGAAUAUCGAUACUUUGUAAUUAUAUAAGUAGAUGCUCAACAUCAUUUUUACUUUGCUCGAUGAUGGAAAAAGGACCUCCCGAAAUGCCGCCUACUCAUUUAUCAUAUUUAAGAAAUGAUAAAGCUUUUUAACAAUAAUAUGAAUACCGAAAUAAUGUCUUCAAAUAACUUUAAAAUUUUAUAAUAUUUUUUCCACCCGGUCGUCUUUUAUUAGACUUAUGUGGUUAAAUAUUAUAUCCAAAACUUACAUUGAAAGUCUGUAACAAAUCUGGUACUUUAGCUACCCCACUGCACAUAAAAAUACACAAACACACUAAAAUAAUGUUAAGACCUUCGCACUAAUUCCAUCAAAAAAUAGCGUGUUCUCACUUACCAUUCAAGUUUCACUUAUUCGUAGAAAACUUUCGUAUUUAAAAAAAUGGUUUAAAAAAUUAAUUAAUUUUUCAGCAAAUGCAAACAAGCGAAGGACAAAGAUUGAAUAAGUGGAAGAGACAAACUGAAUGAGCUAUUCUUUUCUUCAAUUCGAAAUAACAAUCUCCCAAUUAACCAACUAUUCAAACACUUAUUUCGUUAUACUUUUUGCUACAUAUGACAUUGUAAACCUGUGUUUUAAAUUUUCAUCAAGGUCAAAUUAUAUUUGAGAAACACUGUUUUCUGAUUGGCUGUUUUUUAGAACAUUUUAAGCUGCCAACAGAUACAUUAAAUAACACAUCGACACACCUACCAUAGAAACGUACAAUCGUCGCUGAUAGAAAAUCUCAUAUUCUACAAUCCACGUCUUUAUCUCAAAAAGUGUUCUUUAAUAGGUGAGAACUUGGGGGAAAAAGGUGAGAAACACCGGCAACACACUUUCAAAUUUAUACUCACUCUAAUACGCAAGGCUGAACAACAACAAAAACAACGACGAAAACGACGACGACGAAGACGGCGACGAAAGUUAUAACACAAGAACAAAAUUGAAAGUCUCACUAAAAUAUCAUCUCUAUCUUCACCAAAAUAUCUGCAAGCUUAGUAGCUUUUUAACUUUUUUGCCAAUUAUAUCGUUGCUAUGGAAAUGUAUUCAUAAAUGGCAGGUUAGACGCACAGGUGCAAGUUAUCGUUCUUAAAGAAAACAUGAUAUACAGAGCAGCUGAGAAAAAAAAAUCUAACUUGCUCGCUACUUUGUGAUCGAAUCCUCACGACAUUGUUGCAACAUUGUGCGAUACUGCAAUUUUGAAUUUGUUUUUUACCCAAUAAUAAUAUUAUUAUAUAUUAUUAUACUCCUCUUCCUUUCUAAAAUUAUCCAAAAUUCCAAUCCAUUUUAUAACCACGGACAUAUUUUAUAACUGACGACUAAAAUCACCAAAUGUCAGUAAACACCUUAAAAAAUUCUUUUUUGCUAUGGAAUAAUCACACUUGUAAAAAAACACCCAAUCUUGACCCCAGGGCAUUUUUCUUUUUCUUUAUAUCGGUAUAAAAAAUAGACAAACCGUCCUUGGAUCGAGGUUGAAAAACGUCAAUCUCUUUUAAUUGUUGAACCAUUUACUGAUUUAACAGAUUUUUUAACGAGAAACUGUUAACUGUUCGCGAAUAUUUUUUGCGUAAAAUAAAUUUUACCCCAAUGUAACAGUUACUCGACAUUACAUUAUUUAAUCUUUCCCAUAUUAUAUGGGCUGGUGAAACAUUAAUCAACUGCCAAGAAUUUUCUAAUUGUAUGAUGGCAUAAAAGAAUUUAAAACCAGCUAGAAUCACGUGUUUAAUUUUUUUAACCUACGCGUGGAGGAACACACGGUCCUAAAUAAACAAUUUUAUUUUUUAAUGUUUUUGCGUAAAUUUUUAGGCGAAAUAUCUCCACGUGACUUUCAUAUACGACGAAAACUCCUUCUUCAGUGUUCUAAUUUUAUAUUUUUAAAAGUUUUCAAAUAAAGCCAACCAUUACACAUUAAAAAGAAGCUAUUAGUCACAAACCAUAAGAUUUUACUCAAUAGUUAUGGACUCAAGUUUUUUUUAUGUUAAUGUAUAUAAAAAAAAUGCUUACAUUGGAAUCUAUAAAAUUCAAUCAAGUUGGCCUGCAAAAAUCGUCUGCUUUUUUCUACUGAAGGUACUACAAUAUUUACUUUAAACAAACACAAAAAAUCGCCAUUCUCAGAUACAAAACAUGGACCUUUACCUCAUGCACAUUGUGUUCUUAAGCUUGAAGUAAAAAAAAACUUUCCCGUAUUACCCUUAUUACAGAUAUAUUCUACCAUUUGUUUCUUGAAACAAGCUUAACCGACUUUCACUAAGUGUUUAUAAUUCAGUUAUCUUUAGAGAGAAGUGUGUUUUAAUAAUUAAUGUGUACAUAUUUUACAAUUCUUGAUAUCUUUUGUUUUGUUUAUAUUUAAUUAAAAUGUGGAUGAUAAAUUAUUAAAAACACUCUCCUUUUUAUCAUUUUUUUCCUUACAACGCAGCGUUAAAUUUACUGUUGUACAUAUAGAAUCUAUUUAGCACCAAGUCAAUACAGAGUGUUUCAAAAACAAUUUUUUUUGCCGUAGCGUUACUAAUGGCAACGUUAGGUUGCUAUAAGCAAUCUCCAUAAGACGCAUAAAAAGUGACAGCUAAAUAAAAAAAUUACAAGAAAUUCCAUACUCCCCUAAUUUAAAGAAGAAUCUGUCUGACUGGAAGAAUAAAGGCAUGGUGUAAAUUUCCAGACAUGACAAGGGUCACAACGAAUGUCAACACCUUGAAUAAAUAACGGAUCGUUUUUGAGAAAGAAAUGGUGAUAUGGUAUAGAUGACAUGAAUAAAGACCAGUUUAGUUAGAAUUUUAAUAUUAUAAAAAUGUAUGGAGUAAAAUUGCUUUUAAUACAAUUUAUAGAUUUUUCAGAAACACAAGAUCCAAAAGACAUUGGGAUUAAUUACACUCAGCUCUUUUAGGCCUGUGUGUAUUAGCGGACAAAUCGAAUUUUGGAACGAAAAGUUUACUAAAUCGUGUUUUACAUGAAACUCUUGAUUUAAACCGCAGAAAUAACACAAUCAGCGAAAAUAAAAGUUAAUAUUCGUCUUUCUUUACUUAGAUACGCACCAAUAGGCUCUUGUGUAUAGUUGUGUAUAUAUAUACUGCAUUUAACUAUGCGUGUGUUUAACUAUUCGCAUAGCUAAAUGCAGUUAGCUAACUAUUUACUCUUUAUGAUAUCUAGCUACUGUCAUUUUAUUAUGGCUCACGGUGCUAAAAAAGCAGCUGUAAAAAAAAUUACAGUCAAUACUCAAAAUGUAGCUAGCGAAAGAUUUUGCAGCAUCCUAUCUAAGGUAAUUGAAAAUUACCAGUCAUGGUGGAUUGAUAGAUUUUCUUUUUUAGCAUCUAACCAUUGUAAUUAGUUUCAUUGUAUUAUAAAGUUUUAUUUACCUUUAGCGCAAGAAAAACUAUUCUCAAACUAAUGAUUCACACUUUGAAUCAGGUAUUGAACCCACGACCUUUCGCACUGGAGGUGACCAGCGUUGAGAAUGUUUUUGUGUCAUGUUUCUUAUUGAAAAGUUACCUUAGUUAGUUUAUGGUAGCUGUGUAAACAUAAAGUCACAACCUCGUUCCCAGGGUCAUGUGGCCCCUGAUCCGUUAUUACGGAUUGGCCGCUCCAUAAACUUCAUUAACAAGGCAAAAUGCCCUGGGAACGAGGUUGAUAAAGUCGCUAUUUAAUGUUAGAUAACUCCAAGGUUAAGUGUUGAAACCAAAUUGGGUUUUCUAUUCCAACUAUAUUCUUCUUUUUUUAGAAAAUAUUAAUCCGAAUAAA
Molecule: long non-coding RNA, 4961 nt
Organism: Hydractinia symbiolongicarpus
Lineage: Eukaryota; Metazoa; Cnidaria; Hydrozoa; Anthoathecata; Hydractiniidae
Exons: 3
Source: RefSeq, a predicted model, not a curated record